Molecule: ribosomal RNA, 19 nt
Filed under: Botryosphaeria dothidea
Lineage: Eukaryota; Fungi; Ascomycota; Dothideomycetes; Botryosphaeriales; Botryosphaeriaceae
Description: partial 5.8S ribosomal RNA
Source: RNAcentral
UGCCUGCUCGAGCGUCAUU